RNAcentral lists this ribosomal RNA (625 nucleotides) under uncultured bacterium. RNAcentral's name for it is "bacterial SSU rRNA". It matches the Rfam family "Bacterial small subunit ribosomal RNA", at positions 86 to 734 of the family's 1533-position model. The record is from RNAcentral.
CUCGACUCAGCGGCGGACGGGUGAGGAACGCGUGGGUACCUGCCCUAUACAGGGGGAUACCGUGUAGAAAUGCACGCUAAAACCGCAUAAGGUCGCAUGACAAAAACUGAGGUGGUAUAGGAUGGGCCCGCGUCUGAUUAGCUAGUUGGAGAGGUAAAGGCUCCCCAAGGCGACGAUCAGUAGCCGGUCUGAGAGGAUGGACGGCCACAUUGGGACUGAGACACGGCCCAAACUCCUACGGGAGGCAGCAGUGGGGAAUAUUGCACAAUGGGGGAAACCCUGAUGCAGCGAUGCCGCGUGAAGGAAGAAGGACUUCGGUUCGUAAACUUCUAUCAGCAAGGAAGAGGCUUCAAGGGAAGGAGACAGUACUUGAGUAAGCAGCCCCGGCUAACUACGUGCCAGCAGCCGCGGUAAUACGUAGGGGGCGAGCGUUAUCCGGAAUUACUGGGUGUAAAGGGUGCGUAGGCGGCAACGUAAGUCUGUUGUGAAAGGUGAUGGCUUAACCAGCGAAGUGCAAUGGAAACUGCGGAGCUAGAGUGCAGGAGAGGAAAGCGGAAUUCCUAGUGUAGCGGUGAAAUGCGUAGAUAUUAGGAAGAACACCAGUGGCGAAGGCGGCUUUCUGGAC